UGAGGAAAAGAAAAGUCACAACUGCAUGAAGAGGUUCUCACCAAUUUCAUGUUGAAUGAGAAGUCACAAAUCCUAGAGCAAAAAUGACUUCUUUUUUAAAUGAAUGCUUAUAAAGAGAAUUACUUUUAAGCUUUUCUAUUGAAGAAUCCUUUUUGAUCUUUUUACCUCCAGAAAAGCCUAUGUUUAAAGCCCAAUUCAAUCAAAGAUGAAAUUUAACAUGAUAAAUCUUUAAAAAGACUGUAAUUUUAGGGUGUUGUCUCUUUUAAUAACUAUAGAGCCACCCUGACUCCUUUUCAGCUAAAAAAUUUGUGCACUCAAACCAAGUAGCUUAUUGAAAUAACUUAUUUUCCUUCUUACCCUCUUCUACAAUUUUUUCUAAGCACAGAGACCUGACAUUCAGCUCCAAUAAGGAUGUCCCAAUAUGCCCUGAAUUCAAACAAAUCCCUGACUGCAAUAAUAAGUAGAUUAUGUAAUCUGAAAUAAAUAGGCUUCUAUCCUUUUAUAUGUAAAAUUAAAGUUGACAAUCGGCUUCUCUGAAAUGAAUGAGUAUAAAAUCUUUUGUAAAACUAUUUUACUGAUCUAACCUGCCAACAGGACACCCAACACUUGUACCCUGGCAAACAACAGCACUUUAAGAGUUUUACCCAUCUCUUCAUUUGCAGUUUUUUUUUCUUCUUGCUUCAGACCAAGUAGGUAGAAAACUGACAGCCUAAUGUAGAUUUCUAGAACUACAGAUUCUUAGGAAAUACUAAUAUGUAAAUGAUCAUUGCCUAAGGUUAAACUUGUAUAGAUUUUAAGCAUGUUUCAAGUGAAGAGUGACCAAGAACCUUUAGAGUACCAUUUGCUUUUCCUUGGCAACAGAAAUUACUCUUCCAACUGAAAAGGAAAAUUUCACACUCAGUUUUCCACAUUCCCGUGGAUUUACAUUAAAGCAGGAUCCUAAACUAGUAGAAUACUAAAUCCACUCUAGAUGCCAAGCUGACCUCUAUUAAGUUUGCUGUUUCCUGAAGUACGAAGAACAAAGCAGAGACAAGGGUACCUCCCUCUGCCGCUCAACUAUCUCCCAAAGCUUCAGGAAAGGAAAAGACCUUCUUAUACACAAAGGGUGGAGGGCCUAUGGCAAGACUGGGAAGAGAGAAGUAAUAUUUUUAGGACUGUGGAGGGGUGUGGGAGGUUUACUUUUUUAUAAAGGGCAAUGAGGGACAUACAUCUUUUGAAACAAACAGUCCAGCUAUGAGUAAAAUCUAGGCCUUAGAUUCUAUGGAAAAUAUCUCAGUGUCAGAUGGGAUGUAAGAGAAAGUCUCCAUAAGUUGAGGAAAAAUGACCAGUGCAUUUCUUCCCAUAUUGUUGAAGGGGUGAUGAAUUAGAUCGUGAGUCAAGAGCCUGCUUGGCUGACUCAUGCUGAGGCACUUGCUUUUAAGCCAUUUCACAUCCUCCCCCCACUCCAAAGCCAAACCCCAUUUACCACAAGCUAGGAGGAGGAUAAACUCUGAGAAUGUCCUACUAUCGCCUGCUUUCCCCUCUAGGUCUCCCUACUACUUCCUGCUCGUAAGAGUAAUUCAGUUACAUUAUCCCAUUUCCUUCCUUCCUCAUUUUCAAAAGACAAAGGUUUCCUCCUUUAAGGGAAAGGUCCCCACUCACUAACCCCCAGAAAACACAUUUUGUUUGGUGAAGAUGUCCUAUGAAGAAGCUGCUUCUACCACAUCUGUACGGAAACAGUGACCAGGCUCCAUACACUCACCAAAUGCAGCCCCCAAACCCCUUAGUUGUUCCCAAUUGUCAGGGGUAGGGUAGACACCUGUAAUGUUUGAAAUUAUUUUGGUUCUUUCUCCAAAAAAACACCUGGAACAAAAACUGACAGUGAAUUGAGAUCACAUACACAAUGGAGUUUGGAAAAAUUAUAUUAGGCAAAAACCCAUGAAUUAUAACGAUAUAAAGGACUCAAACUUCUUUUCCUGAAGUUCGGGAAUACUAUCCCACGCCUGACUCGAGGCAGACUUGCAUAUUAUUUGUUUAUAGAUGCAGACAUUUUUCUCAUCUUCCCUCUGGUGUCUCCCUGAGAAGGUACCACGUUUAACCAGAUCAAGACAGAUUUAGAGGUCAAUAAACAACGACACUACAAAAACCCCCAAUAGUAGGGUUAGCUUAAAUAUUAAAUAGUUACAGCAUUUAUAAGUAUUGCUAUAGUACAUACGCCUGAUGUUAAUAUUUAUCUUUAAUCCACACAACCUAAGAGUUCUGGUAAGAUUUUGUUUUAUGGGGGUGAGGGCUGUGGGUGGAAAUGGGAAGGAACAUACUCUGAAUACCCCGUGGGUUUUUGCAGAAAUACUCUACUUAGAAUUCCGAGUAUGAGACCGGCCUUAGUCUGUAUUUCUGAAGUCUUUUCCUGACUUUAAGGUCUGAAUGUUCCAUUUCUCAUCCCUUUUCUAGUCUAGUCCUCUCUUUCACAAAGCUUAGCUUUUCCAUUCAUCAGUGGCUGGAAAAUGGACUUAAGGGAUUGGGUAAGCCUAAGGGUAUAAGAGUCUCUCCCAGGUUCUUUGUGUAGCCCUGUCAAAUCACUGAUUAAGCUCAUAAACUUCCUUCUCUCUCUGUCUACAAAUAUAUAUACCCGGAUACUGCAUAUAAAAAGGAUACAAACCCCGGGGGGAAGUACUAACCCUUAUAAUACCAGUGUAGUGGGGCCACUGAAACUUCAGAAUCACAGUAUAACUAGACACACCUGGGAUGUUUCAGAUGAAGACUAAGCAACUUAAAGUCUGCUGAUUCAGGAGCUGUUAGAAGCAGGGCGGCAGCAAUUUACUCCUAGUUUUAAAGGAAUGACUGGCCAGCCAGAUCAUGGGUCACCAAUUUGGUUACCACCACUAGCAAGGCUACGUGCUGCUGGAAGCAACGCAGGAGGGGGAGGGGACAACGAAGGGCACAAUGGGAAACAAAAGGUCUCAACGUGGGGAGGCACACGUGUCCUGGUGCCCGCAGUGGCCUACCCUGGCAAGAACAGGUCACUGCAACUGAACAAGCCCAGAAAGCCCUUCUCUCAAAGCGUUGCAACUUCUGGAAUGAAGGACACACCUAUAUACACAGUGGUCUUGUUUCCUCCCAAAGCUGUUACCAAAUCAUAUCCCGGCCACUGGAGGAGGGUCUGGACAAAAAAGUCUUUCAGUCACUUAUUUAGCAGCUGGUGGUUUUAAAUUUUACGUCUUGUGCCAAGAGGCCGGCAAAUGCCACUGCAGCAAGCAGAGAACCCUUAGAUAACACGCUGGGCCCUCCCCGAACCUUCAGCCAGCAGCAGUGUCCUCUGACGCUGGCCUAAUACACUCAUCUUUCCCAGGGAGCAAAUUCCAGAACGGAGGCAGGGAGGGAGGUGCGACCCUGGGCACGAGUCCCGGGAAGUGACCGCCGAUGCCUCCCGGCUCCUGCCCCCACCGGGCUUCGGCCUGACCACGCUCUUGGCACAGUUUACCAAACUGAGUUAAAGAACAACAAACCCUCCUCCGCACCGGCCUCGCAUUCCUGAGAGCCGCGGGAAGCCCCUUCGUUCCCCUCCCCUUCCCGCCCGGGGCCUGCCCCGCCACCGGGAGGCAGGGGGAGCCAGCGGCCGGCGCACGGUGGGCCGGAGGGUCGCCGGGCUGGGCAGGCGCCACCCGCCGAGAAGCACGUGCAGGAACCGUUUUCCAGGCUGCUGCAUAAAAUUCCCUCUCCAGCCCUACUUUGGAGUGGUUGGGAACCAGAGUCUUAAUCUAUCUCUUUGGAGCUGCUUCAAGUGGAAGAGGGGCAUGACCAGUUUCAGCAAACCUGGUAAGAACUCAUCAGCCCCCUCCUCAGGACGCUGUCUACAGUUGUCUGCGCAUCCGGAAGAGAUAAUUGAGUUCAAGCAGAUAUGAGAGUACGAAAAUUUUCAAGACGCCCACGAGUGGAAAAUGCACUCCUCCCAGCCAGAUCAGACUUCACCAGAUUCCUUACAGCUGUGUGCGUUGAAAUGACUAAUGACAGAGCCCUCUGCUGCCGGUGGAACUUUCACACACGGCACUGUUGCUGCUGCUCAUCAGGACACGACCCUGCGUAUUUACAUACUGGAUGUCACCCCAAAAGCCCCCGACCAGGGGAUUUCCGGGAUGUAAUGAGAACGCGCUCUGGGCCUUGGAAGGUGCGCUGUGAGUGCGCCUCCUGCAGCGCGCAGACGUAACAUUUCAGACCCACGCUCCCUCGCCAAGGGCUCUUCUCCUGGGAAGAUAUCAGAUUCAGUCAUAGAUCCAUAGGUGCCAGCUAUGGAUUGAGGUGCUGGGAAUACGUAGAUGAGGAAUUCACGCUCCUUCACGCCUGGAGCUCGGUGCCUCGUUAAGACAAGGGACGCAAACGCUGGAAAAUUUCAGUCCAUAGCGUAGGUAUGAAGGAGGCGUUCUUGGGGCCCAGAGGAGGGGCGUGUAAGUUGGGGGCGGCCAGGGAAGGCCUCCUGGAGUUGGUAAAGACUGGUUUGAGUCUCCAACAUUUUUUUAAAAGUGCUUUGUUUUUUAAAAAAUCUAGUUAUGCAGGUAAUAUAUCUCAUUGACAAAUAAUGUAAACUUUUUAGAAAUAUGUUCCUUUAGAAAAAGCUCAGGGAGCAAAGAGGAAGAAAGAAAACUUGAUUAGGAGGAUUUCUACCCAAUUGUAGAUUGUGGCUUUCUUCCUGAAAAGGGAGUUGUGUGUGUGUGUGCAUGUGUGUGUGUGUGUAAGAGGGUGGCAUAGUGCCGACAAGAGGGAGGUGAAGACUCGAGACCUUGUCCCUGUGGCCAGAAUCUCUUUGUGGUAACACUAGCCAGGGUGAGAAAUCAAUCAGCUAUGUACUGGGCACCCACGCCCAUGGGACUCUGGUUUUUCUGACUUGAUUUUCUACAUUUUAGUUUUGGCUAUUGGAGUCUUACAACCUCAGAGGCUCAUCUCUGCCCAUUCCUCCAAGUGGUUUAUCAAGGUGUUUUCCUAAAAGAAAUUCAUGUCUCCCUAGGGGCCAGCCCCGUGGCCAAGUGGUUAAG
Equus quagga is the source of this 5006-nucleotide long non-coding RNA. RefSeq lists it as uncharacterized. NCBI's taxonomy places the organism in Eukaryota, Metazoa, Chordata, Mammalia, Perissodactyla, Equidae. The transcript has 3 exons. The record is from RefSeq and is a predicted model, not a curated record.